This 445-nucleotide long non-coding RNA is filed under the name Eucalyptus grandis. RNAcentral's name for it is "long non-coding RNA (EGRA_LNC006747)". The record is from RNAcentral. Lineage: Eukaryota; Viridiplantae; Streptophyta; Magnoliopsida; Myrtales; Myrtaceae.
CCUAGGAAAUUGUGUUUCAAACAGAAUAAUUAGAAUCAAGAAGAAAGAAGCAGGAAGUACAAACAGUCUUUUUUUCUUUUUCUUAUUUUUUCCGGCAAUAUUUUACUCUCAUAUUCUUAUUAGCAAUGCCUGUUUGCAUGGAGAGAAAAACAAAGUGCUUCAGCUUAAAAGGUCAACGGAAAAGCUGCAGAAUCUAUCAUGGUGCAUAUCUCCAAUAAGUUAUAAUUUUACCUUAAAAUUGCACAGAAACUGGAGAAGCACUCCACAGCUGCUACUCCAAGAUCAACUUUAAUUUCAUGAUGCAGUUUUAUGCUUCAGUGAAACUCUGCACGACGAUGUUAGGCAUUUAGAUUCUGAGGUAAAAACACAUCCACAUGAAAACUUAAGGCGGAAGUAAAUUCAUUCACUGAGGCCAAAGAGAGCGGUCUCUCUAAACGGUCUCCCU